RNAcentral lists this small RNA (42 nucleotides) under Arabidopsis thaliana (thale cress). Its description in RNAcentral is "ATSL109340". The record is from RNAcentral. Lineage: Eukaryota; Viridiplantae; Streptophyta; Magnoliopsida; Brassicales; Brassicaceae.
UUGUCGAUUAGUUAAUUUAAGUAGUAGAACAAUAAUAACUAA